This 630-nucleotide ribosomal RNA is filed under the name Lottia subrotundata. RNAcentral's name for it is "partial 16S ribosomal RNA". It matches the Rfam family "Bacterial large subunit ribosomal RNA", at positions 1819 to 2601 of the family's 2925-position model. Lineage: Eukaryota; Metazoa; Mollusca; Gastropoda; Lottiidae. The record is from RNAcentral.
GGCUCCCCGCAGCUAAGAAAUCACGGGCGGUCUGACCUGCACAAUGACUUAAGGGAUUAAAUUGCCGCGGUACCCUGACCGUGCAAAGGUAGCGUAAUCAAUAGCCUAUUAAUUGUUGGCCUGUAUGAAUGGUUUGACGCUGGUGGCUCUGUCUCUGCAACAGUAAUUUGAAAUUAACCUCUAGGUGAAAAGGCCUAGAUAGCCCUGAAAGACGAUAAGACCCUGUCGAACUUUGGGUAGACUCUUAAACCGAGGUGUCGCGAUAUCUCGAUAAAGGAUAAACCUUUGGUUGGGGCAACCGGGGACUAAGAAAAACGCCCCCCCUCCUUCUCUCAGUUAACACCCGUUAUGUGAGAGGCAGAAUGGCUCUGCCUCUAGGGCAUCGGCUUCAGGAAAGGAACCUCCUUACUGGAAAAAGGUCUGACAAGACAUUUGUAGCUUGUAGAAUGAUCCUAAAGACCCCCAAAAGGGAAUCUAGCACUUGGGAAGAGUUACCACAGGGAUAACAGCGUUAUCCCCCUGGCGAGACCACAUUAAUGGGGGGGUUUGCGACCUCGAUGUUGGCUCAGGGCGUCCUAAGGGCGAAGAGGCUCUUAAGGGUUGGUCUGUUCGACCAUUAAAGCCUUACGU